Molecule: long non-coding RNA, 158 nt
Organism: Gavialis gangeticus (Gharial)
Lineage: Eukaryota; Metazoa; Chordata; Crocodylia; Gavialidae
Exons: 3
Source: RefSeq, a predicted model, not a curated record
UAUGGGGAAGACAUGUCAAGGUCAGUCCUGUUCCAGAAAGUUCCAGAUGUUCUUACUGAGUAUGUGCAGCCUUGGUACAAUGGUGGGUAGCCUCAUCUUUUAUUUCUUGAAUGCUGAGGGUGGUUCCAAUGCCUGGGUCCUUGUUCCAGGUAUUGGUG